Molecule: RNA transcript, 817 nt
Organism: Homo sapiens (human)
Lineage: Eukaryota; Metazoa; Chordata; Mammalia; Primates; Hominidae
Gene: BRDTP1
Gene name: bromodomain testis associated pseudogene 1
Exons: 1
Source: RefSeq, marked provisional
CACACCUUCCUGUGGAAAGCCACAAAAUCAGCACCAAUUAGCAUUUAAUUAUCAAGAAUUAGAACAUUUACAGACUGUGAAAAACAUUUCAUCUUUACAAAUUCUGCCUCCCUCAGGUGAUUCUGAGCAGCUUUCGAAUGGCAUAACUGUGAUGCAUCCACCUGGUGAUAAUGACACAACUAUGUUAGAAUUUGAAUGUCAAGAUCCUGUGCAGAAGGAUGUAAAGAUUAAGAAUGCAGAUUCAUGGAAAAGUUUAGGCAAACCAGUGAAACCAUCAGGUAUACUGAAGUCCUCAGGUGAGCUCUUCAACCAAUUUAGAAAAGCAGCCAUAGAAAAGGAAGUAAAAGCUCAGACCCAGGAACUGUACGGAGACAUUUGGAACAAAAGACAAAGGAACCAAAAGCAUCUCAAGAAAAUCAGAGGGAUCUGGGAAAUUAAUUGACUGUAGAAUCUUUUUCAGAUAAAAUGCAAAACAAGUGCUAUGGAGAAGAGCAGAAAGAACAUAUGCAGUCAUUGGAAGCUCAAGAUAAAUGCAAACUCUGGUUUCUCAAAGACCGUAAUUUAACACGGGAGAAAGCACAAGAGUGGAGAAGGAGAGAAGCAAUGGCAGGUACCAUUGGUAUGACUUCAAAGAGACAUUAUGACAAUGUUUGAAAACAACUUUGAUUAAAACUCAGUUUUUAAAUUAACCGUCAACUUAAAAUGAAUGGUAAAAGAUCAAAAUGCAUAUGGUAAAAUGAUUGCUUUCAGAUAACAAGAUACCAAUCUUAUAUUGUAGUUUGACCACUCUAAAAUGAUUAAAUGGUUUUCACUUACA